This is a non-coding RNA of Struthio camelus australis, 382 nucleotides long. The record is from RefSeq and is a predicted model, not a curated record. Lineage: Eukaryota; Metazoa; Chordata; Aves; Struthioniformes; Struthionidae.
CAGCUGGCAUACUGAGGUGUCCUGCCUAAGAGGGGCUGCAGGUAGCGCUCACCCUCCUAGGCGCUGCUGACGUCCGAGAGAAAAGGGAGAUUUCAGACAUCCCCUUCUCUUGCAUCCUUUUUGGUCUUGACUCUACAGAAAUGACACCAAUAGACAUCCAGACUUCUAAGAAUAAAGUUCAGAUUUGACUCCUGGAUCUUAUGGAGUCAUGUUCAACAUCCAGCAGUUAGCAAAUUUGUGAGCAAUCACAAAUGAGAACUUGAAUGAAUAUGCGAACUGGCUUCCUUUUUCCAUGAAGUGAUGCUUCAGAACAGAAAUGAGCUGGUCAAGCUGAAAUGCCAAGCAUAAUACAAGCAGUGGAGAUGAUCCCAAUGUCAGUAAC